This 101-nucleotide transfer RNA is filed under the name Leptolyngbya sp. SIOISBB. RNAcentral describes it as "tRNA-Gln". Lineage: Bacteria; Bacillati; Cyanobacteriota; Cyanophyceae; Leptolyngbyales; Leptolyngbyaceae. The record is from RNAcentral.
UGCCGAGUGGACAACCUGGAAAGUCGCUGUGACUCUGCAUCACGGAGAUGCUGGUAACUCCUGCGGAGACGCUACGCGAACGAAUCCAGCCUCGGCAUCCA